This 497-nucleotide ribosomal RNA is filed under the name uncultured bacterium. Its description in RNAcentral is "partial 16S ribosomal RNA". It matches the Rfam family "Bacterial small subunit ribosomal RNA", at positions 28 to 507 of the family's 1533-position model. The record is from RNAcentral.
GAUGAACGCUGGCGGCGUGCCUAAUACAUGCAAGUCGAGCGAACGGACGAGAAGCUUGCUUCUCUGAUGUUAGCGGCGGACGGGUGAGUAACACGUGGAUAACCUACCUAUAAGACUGGGAUAACUUCGGGAAACCGGAGCUAAUACCGGAUAAUAUUUUGAACCGCAUGGUUCAAAAGUAAAAGACGGUCUUGCUGUCACUUAUAGAUGGAUCCGCGCUGCAUUAGCUAGUUGGUAAGGUAACGGCUUACCAAGGCAACGAUGCAUAGCCGACCUGAGAGGGUGAUCGGCCACACUGGAACUGAGACACGGUCCAGACUCCUACGGGAGGCAGCAGUAGGGAAUCUUCCGCAAAGGGCGAAAGCCUGACGGAGCAACGCCGCGUGAGUGAUAAAGGUCUUCGGAUCGUAAAACUCUGUUAUUAGGGAAGAACAUAUGUGUAAGUAACUGUGCACAUCUUGACGGUACCUAAUCAGAAAGCCACGGCUAACUACGUG